Molecule: non-coding RNA, 408 nt
Organism: Danio rerio (zebrafish)
Lineage: Eukaryota; Metazoa; Chordata; Actinopteri; Cypriniformes; Danionidae
Source: the annotation of a RefSeq genome assembly
UUAACAUCAGCCUCAAGAUGAAGAAUGCUCUCUGCUUACUGCUGCUCUUGUUAAGUCUACAGCGUAUAAAAUGUGAAAGUAUGGAGUCAAUUGAAAGCUCAGUGCAGAAAAAGCCUGGAGAAACUCUGACUCUGUCCUGUAGAGGAUCCGGGUUCAGCUUUAGCUCCUAUUACAUGCACUGGAUUAGACAACAAGCUGGAAAACCUCUUGUGUGGAUUGGAGGCACUGGCUAUGGCUAUGCUGAGUCCUUCAAAGGAAGAGCUGAAAUCACCAAAGAUAAUUCAAAGAGUAUGACAUAUCUGAAACUAUCAGGCCUCACAGCAGAAGAUUCAGCCGUGUAUUACUGUGCAAGACAAUCACAGUGACACAAAGAUCUUGUAGAGCAGAACAAAAACCACUGUGAGUGUU